UGGGGAAUAUUGCACAAUGGGCGCAAGCCUGAUGCAGCCAUGCCGCGUGUGUGAAGAAGGCCUUCGGGUUGUAAAGCACUUUCAGCGGGGAGGAAGGCGAUAAGGUCAAUAACCUUGUCGAUUGACGUUACCCGCAGAAGAAGCACCGGCUAACUCCGUGCCAGCAGCCGCGGUAAUACGGAGGGUGCAAGCGUUAAUCGGAAUUACUGGGCGUAAAGCGCACGCAGGCGGUCUGUCAAGUCGGAUGUGAAAUCCCCGGGCUCAACCUGGGAACUGCAUUCGAAACUGGCAGGCUAGAGUCUUGUAGAGGGGGGUAGAAUUCCAGGUGUAGCGGUGAAAUGCGUAGAGAUCUGGAGGAAUACCGGUGGCGAAGGCGGCCCCCUGGACAAAGACUGACGCUCAGGUGCGAAAGCGUGGGGAGCAAACAGG
This 429-nucleotide ribosomal RNA is filed under the name Chloroflexota bacterium. RNAcentral's name for it is "Chloroflexi bacterium partial 16S ribosomal RNA". It matches the Rfam family "Bacterial small subunit ribosomal RNA", at positions 355 to 776 of the family's 1533-position model. The record is from RNAcentral. Lineage: Bacteria; Bacillati; Chloroflexota.